CUUCAGUAUCACUGUGAGGUCAAGUUAAUCUUGUCAUUCAGCCGCCCUUGUCUCAGCUAUGUGGCUCCGACUACUUAUGCUAUGCUUCUUCAACGAAGCCUUAGGACAUCUAAAUGCCUCUUCUCAGGCAGAAUUCAACCCUGCGGUCAUUUUUUCACAAACAACAGAACUUCUGGAAGGGGACAUCUUGCAAUUAAAGUGUAUGGUUUUUAUGACAGAAAAACCAAAGGAUGCAUUGUGCAUAUACCUCUGCAAGGACGGUGUCGCGACCAGAAUAGAGAGAAUUACAAGAAAAGCAAUUAGUCCAACGUGUUACAGCUGUAGGCCACAAUACUGUCUUCAUCCAAGUCAGAGAAUUUGGUUUGGGCAACAUUUAUCGAAGAAAUGCUGUCAUAUUUGAGAGUGCCAGUGUGGAUCUGAUAUGUUUUGGUGUCGAGACCAAAACAGACAGAUCUUUACACGUGUACUUGUGCAAGAAUGGAAUUGGGGUCAACAUGGAUGUGGCUCGUUCCGAUGGGAUAGCCAUUUUUACACUCGGACAAGUCAGAAGAGAAGACUCUGGCAAUUACAGCUGUGUGUACUCAAUAAAGAAACAUCACCCUGGCAACGUGACUUCCACAAAUGAGAGAUCUGUAAUCAUCCAAGUAACAGGUGAUGUAUUAUAAAGGCAAUUACAUGCAAUUACAGGCAAUUACUGCUGUGUGUACUCACUUAUGAAAAUUAGGUAGCAAUAUGAAUUUGUUGAAACACGAUGUUGAGCAAUAUGAAUUUGUUUGACGAAAUGAAAUCUACAUCACUGUCCAGAAUGUAGCCUACUGUACUAUGGGCUCAAUAGCGCAUCUGUAAUGGACACUCUUUAAGGGUUAUAUAGAUAAGCUGAUGUUACUUCACCUGUUUCAAUAUAGAGAUGGAUGUCCAUCAGUGGUGGGUGAAUGUCAUUAGACUCUUGUGUUCAGUUGGAGUGGUCAUUGCAGCUAUGGCCUUUCUGACUGUUCAUAAUUUCUACAGCAUAAAAGGUAACAAUGCCAUUUAUCAUUGUGGUAUCACUUCAUGCUUUUAAUUUCAUCAGCAUUUCUAGUCUACAAAUGGUAAAAUCCGACUCUAUGUGGACACCACACAGUCAGAGUAAUGAUUUGGUGAUAAAUCUAUUACAUUUCAAAAUGUCUUUAAUUUUUUUUUUUGAAAUUAGAUUUAAAUUGAAAUUUGUGUAAUUUAAUGUGUCACUUUCUUAAAAAAAAAACAAACAAAAAAAACAAUGUUCUGUGCAACGAAUGCUCCAGCAACGAGGUCAAAACCAGAUGACACAAAUAGCAGCUCUAAAGAGACUCAGCAGCUCACACAAGAGAGAAGAGAAUCCAGACAACUUUCUUCAACUGUUUCACCACAAGGGGAAGUGUCAUAAAGACUUCAACCUAGCAUUCACAACAAUCUUCAUUAUUUUUCAAUUAAAUUUACUCAAAGUCACUCCCCUGAACCAACACAUGUGACUGUACAUGUAUUGAUUUGGUAUUUCUGUCCAAAGUAUCUUAGAAGUCACGUGGAUUUGUUUGAAUGCUUUGCAUGAAUUGGUCUAUGAUGUUGUAUGUUACAUGCACAGUAAAUUCAGAUCAAUACAAAAAAGUAACAAUGUACACAUGUAACUUGCAGAAC
RNA transcript from Alosa sapidissima (American shad), 1650 nucleotides. RefSeq lists it as uncharacterized. The record is from RefSeq and is a predicted model, not a curated record. Lineage: Eukaryota; Metazoa; Chordata; Actinopteri; Clupeiformes; Clupeidae. The transcript has 5 exons.